UACGAAGGGGGCUAGCGUUGUUCGGAAUUACUGGGCGUAAAGCGCACGUAGGCGGGUUGGUAAGUAGGGGGUGAAAUCCCAGCGCUCAACGCUGGAACUGCCUUCUAGACUGCCAGCCUUGAGGUCAGGAGAGGCGAGUGGAAUUCCGAGUGUAGAGGUGAAAUUCGUAGAUAUUCGGAGGAACACCAGUGGCGAAGGCGACUCGCUGGACUGAUACUGACGCUGAGGUGCGAAAGCGUGGGGAGCAAACAGG
RNAcentral lists this ribosomal RNA (253 nucleotides) under uncultured bacterium. RNAcentral's name for it is "partial 16S ribosomal RNA". It matches the Rfam family "Bacterial small subunit ribosomal RNA", at positions 524 to 776 of the family's 1533-position model. The record is from RNAcentral.